This 305-nucleotide ribosomal RNA is filed under the name uncultured bacterium. Its description in RNAcentral is "bacterial SSU rRNA". It matches the Rfam family "Bacterial small subunit ribosomal RNA", at positions 333 to 656 of the family's 1533-position model. The record is from RNAcentral.
UUGGCCCUACGGACGCAGCAGUGGGGAAUAUUGCACAAUGGGGGAAACCCUGAUGCAGCGACGCCGCGUGAGUGAAGAAGUAUUUCGGUACGUAAAGCUCUAUCAGCAGGGAAGAAAAUGACGGUACCUGACUAAGAAGCCCCGGCUAACUACGUGCCAGCAGCCGCGGUAAUACGUAGGGGGCAAGCGUUAUCCGGAUUUACUGGGUGUAAAGGGAGCGUAGACGGCAGCGCAAGUCUGGAGUGAAAUCCCAUGGCUUAACCAUGGAACUGCUUUGGAAACUGUGCAGCUAGAGUGCAGGAGAG